AACAUCUCAACUCUCACGGCGCUUGCGUCGAGAGGAUUGGAUUUGAGUGAUCCCGACUCCUUCGUAAGAAAGAGGAGGGUCGCUUGAAAUGCAGGUGCAGCAGGACAUUCUUCUGAGCUAAAAGCAUAUCUAUUUAGUCCCGUCAAACGGAUUAUUACUUUUGCUUCAGCUAACAUAAAGGUUGAAUGAACCACAAUCGCUGAUUGCAGGAAAACUCGUUCGUAACAGAACUUGUGA
This 237-nucleotide unclassified non-coding RNA is filed under the name uncultured Mortierellaceae. RNAcentral describes it as "sequence contains ITS2". Lineage: Eukaryota; Fungi; Mortierellomycota; Mortierellomycetes; Mortierellales; Mortierellaceae. The record is from RNAcentral.